AACAGUCUAGAAACUUGAUUAUGCUCUUGCCGCACAGAUACUGACAGAGCACUAUGAUCAGCUUGUUUCCUCCGUAAUGCUGUAUCUUAAGCUAUAUCCCUGAAGUCCUCAGUUUCCACUGAUUUGGAGUGAAAGAGAUUUUUCCUCUCCAGAUUGCUGUGAACAGCACUGCCAUUAGGCCUUGACAAGAAGAGACCUACCUCAGGAUUCAAGCUUUAGGAGCCCAUACAAGGGGAGUGCCUUCCUUAAAUUUUUGAAGUCCCACUUUGAUGGCCAGGAGUGGCCUGAUCUGAUAGUGUUGUAGGAACAGGGCCAGUAAGCCUGGAUUCAGACCUUUUGAGAUCUCAUUCUUGGGUUCCACUAGAUGUCCCUAUCAGAAACUCAUAUCCAUAGUCAUCCCAGGACCUGUGGCCAGUUCUCAGUUCUAAGAGGAAAGUCUGGAACCUCCCAGAUUGUCAGUGUAGUAUUUUCUUUAAAAGACCAUGUGAGAUCCAUCCACCAAAAUGGCGUGAAGAAGAUGAUUUUUUCUCACUCAUAUAUGUUAUGCAAUAAAAACCUCUCCAUAAUAAGAAAGGUUCAAGGCUCUGAGCUUGGUCCACUCUUCAUGUAGUAUGGACCAAUGUUUCAGCUUUCAUUAAUCUGUGCUAGCACAUCUAGUCUAUAGCCCUCUAAGGCAGCAAUUUUUGUGGCAGAUAUUAUUUAUGCUGUGUUUCCCCUACUUCUGACAUAUAGGUGGUCAUUCCACUCUUCUGUUAAUGUCAUGUUCGGUUCAGGGAGUCCUCCAUGGAUGGCCAUGCCUUUCUCUCCAAGAGCUUUGGUGAACUCUACCCAAUCUGAACAGGUCUUUCGAUUCUUGCACUUUUUUGCCCCUAAUCAAGAGAGUACUAAUGUACUCUCUCUGAUGUUAUAAAUGGAAUAGACAUUCCUUACACAGAUGUAACACUUUCACUCUGACCAUGGACUUCUCAUCUUUCCUCCCUACUAGUGGCAAUAUGUGGAAGACAGGGGUGCAUCAUUUAUAUUUUUCUGCACACCCUGGGUAAAACUUGCAUUCAAAGUCAUUAUCAACAAAGAACAGUGACAAUACUUGAGACAGUCAUUAGAAACCAGUGCUCAUGGGUGGCUCAGUGGAUGGUGCAGUGUCAUGAGCCAUGAGGUAACCAGCAUUAAGUAAACAGUACUAGAGAAAUGCAGAGGCAAAAAUGUCCAGAGUUAUGGCAUUGUGAUUUAUAACAGUGUUGCUGCCUCUUAUUGCCGUUAGUGAAAUUAGCUAGAAACAGUGCAUUAUUUUGAUUAUUAUUACAGAUAGAGAUGGUUCCUGGACACUAUGAAGAGUCAUUAUUGACUGGUCAAUAAUGAAUAAUGUAAGCUUUCUUUCUUUUUUAAUUAUAAAUAAUAAUCAAUAAGUCACUAUACCUUAAUGAGCCCAUGAAUUUUAUAAGUCCCUUUUAAAUCAAAUUAUAUAUAUAUAUAGGAAUCCCAUACACACAAAAAAAUAUUUGCCCUGAGCCCCACAUACCCUAGGAAUAGCUCAGGCUAUGAAAGCUAGUUCAUAUAUUUUAUCAAAUGGUUUGAAUUGGAAGAAUCUAUUGAACAAUGAUAUUAGGGUUUCAAUUUUCUGUAUUUGACAUAGUAUAUUUAUAGAUUAAUAAUUAAAGAGAUCAGUUAAAAGAAAGAUU
Non-coding RNA from Macaca mulatta (Rhesus monkey), 1679 nucleotides. The record is from RefSeq and is a predicted model, not a curated record. NCBI's taxonomy places the organism in Eukaryota, Metazoa, Chordata, Mammalia, Primates, Cercopithecidae.